RNAcentral lists this ribosomal RNA (253 nucleotides) under uncultured bacterium. RNAcentral describes it as "partial 16S ribosomal RNA". It matches the Rfam family "Bacterial small subunit ribosomal RNA", at positions 524 to 776 of the family's 1533-position model. The record is from RNAcentral.
UACGGAGGGAGCUAGCGUUGUUCGGAAUUACUGGGCGUAAAGCGCACGUAGGCGGCUUUGUAAGUUAGAGGUGAAAGCCCGGAGCUCAACUCCGGAACUGCCUUUAAGACUGCAUCGCUUGAAUCCAGGAGAGGUGAGUGGAAUUCCGAGUGUAGAGGUGAAAUUCGUAGAUAUCGUAAGGAAGACCAGUGGCGAAGGCGGGUCUCUGGACAGUUCCUGACGCUGAGGCACGAAGGCCAGGGGAGCAAACGGG